CUUUUGUUUCUGGUUUUGUUGUCGGAUUCACUGCUGUUUGGCACAUGGCUUUGGUUACCCUUGUUGUUCCUAUGAUUGUUGUGGUUGAAUGCAUUCAUACAACCCAUACAACUACUUUGGCCAAGCUCUCUAGUAAGAGCCAAGAACCUCUUUCUCAAGCUAGCAACAUUGUUGAACACGUACAGAAUAAGAAUAACACGUUGUUUCUCUUCAAAGUUAUUAAUUUAAUAAAGCCAUUGGGUGAUUUUGUUAGGGAAUUUUAUUGUUGAUAUUGCAGACGGUUGUGCAAAUCUGAGUCCCAAGCACUACAAGAUUACUCUGAAGUAGAACAGUAGUAAAGUGAAAGGCUUCUUGUUUAUUCUACAACAUCUAUCUGGCAUGGCUGGUAGUUGCUAGUUCUUUGUAUCAGGGAUGAUAUAGUCAAAUGAGCAGGAAAAAGAACUGGUACGCCAGUUAUUUAUUAGGAUAUAGUCUUGUCGCAACAAUUGCUUCGUCUUUGGCAUAGCUUCAGAUUCCUGCAUUUCAGCUAAUGCAUCAGCAAAAUUGAUAAGCAAACAUUCCUGAUAGAACCUGCAAAAUUGAUUAAGUGCUAGUCUAAUAUGUUGGAAUUCUAAUAUGUUGGAAUUCCUGCAUUUUAUAUUUAUGGAUUUUCAACUUGGCCUAUUUUACUUCCAGGUAUAGGAUUGAUGUUGAGGUCUGCGAUGGCAAUGAUUCAGCCAAGGAACUUCGCCUAUGACAAUCAUGCAACUCUUCUGGAACACGAUGAUAGAGUCAUGAUGGCUGCUUGUGAUGCAUUUUGUGCCGUUCUCAAAUAGCAAAUUCGAUGAAAGAGCUGCAGAGCGAUCAAUUGACUUCAUGAUUGGAUGGUUAGUAGCUCACAAGCUCUCAGCACAAUGGUUCAAGAAUUUUCUUAAGAGACCUUAGACUUUCUAAUAUUUAUAUGUAUGUAUCUUGUUACGAUAAGUAAUGUAACGAGAUUUAUAAAAGAAUCAUAUAUGAAGUAGUUACAUGUGAUUGUCUGCUUGGAAUUAGACUUGGAAUUAAUUAGUGAUAAUGUUAAGUAUUGACUUUUAAUGUGUUGAA
Long non-coding RNA from Trifolium pratense (red clover), 1083 nucleotides. RefSeq lists it as uncharacterized. The record is from RefSeq and is a predicted model, not a curated record. Lineage: Eukaryota; Viridiplantae; Streptophyta; Magnoliopsida; Fabales; Fabaceae. The transcript is spliced from 3 exons.